Molecule: long non-coding RNA, 329 nt
Organism: Saccostrea cuccullata (small rock oyster)
Lineage: Eukaryota; Metazoa; Mollusca; Bivalvia; Ostreida; Ostreidae
Exons: 3
Source: RefSeq, a predicted model, not a curated record
CUUGAUCUACAGAGAGGAGGAAAUGAAAACUUGUUUUUUCUUCGUUGUGAUUCUUAUUUCAGUAUUCAAAUCCGUUGAAUCACAAUGCGUUCACCUUGGGAGACUGUAUGAGCCGGAAGUAAGCUUCCCAAAGGGUGAUGGUUGCAAUGCCUGUAAAUGUUCUGAUUCUGGAAGAGUAAGGUGUACAGAUAGAAGGUGCCAUGAAUAUCCAAAAUGUCGUCACAAUGGUAAACUGUAUGAGGCUGGGAGUCGUUUCUCUGCCAGAGACGGGUGUAAUGAGUGCACAUGCACUACCAUAGGAGUCCCACAGUGUACAAUGUACAAUUGCU